Molecule: ribosomal RNA, 420 nt
Filed under: Fusobacteriota bacterium
Lineage: Bacteria; Fusobacteriati; Fusobacteriota
Description: Fusobacteria bacterium partial 16S ribosomal RNA
Rfam family: Bacterial small subunit ribosomal RNA
Source: RNAcentral
UGGGGGAUAUUGCACAAUGGGCGAAAGCCUGAUGCAGCGACGCCGCGUGGGGGAUGAAGGCCUUCGGGUUGUAAACUUCUUUUGCUCUGAACAAGGCAUGCCUUUGGGGUGUGUUGAGUGUAGGGGUUGAUUAGCGCCGGCUAACUACGUGCCAGCAGCCGCGGUAAUACGUAGGGCGCGAGCGUUGUCCGGAAUUAUUGGGCGUAAAGGGCUUGUAGGUGGCUGGGUGCGUCUGUCGUGAAAGCUCAUGGCUUAACUGUGGGUUUGCGGUGGGUACGGGCUGGCUUGAGUGCAGUAGGGGAGGCUGGAAUUCCUGGUGUAGCGGUGGAAUGCGCAGAUAUCAGGAGGAAUACCGGUGGCGAAGGCGGGUCUCUAGGCUGUUACUGACGCUGAGGAGCGAAAGCGUGGGGAGCGAACAGG